UGAGCUUGAUCCUGGCUCAGGACGAACGCUGGCGGCGUGCCUAAUACAUGCAAGUCGAGCGCAGGAAGCCGGCGGAUCCCUUCGGGGUGAAGCCGGUGGAAUGAGCGGCGGACGGGUGAGUAACACGUGGGCAACCUACCUUGUAGACUGGGAUAACUCCGGGAAACCGGGGCUAAUACCGGAUGAUCAUUUGGAUCGCAUGAUCCGAAUGUAAAAGUGGGGAUUUAUCCUCACACUGCAAGAUGGGCCCGCGGCGCAUUAGCUAGUUGGUAAGGUAAUGGCUUACCAAGGCGACGAUGCGUAGCCGACCUGAGAGGGUGAUCGGCCACACUGGAACUGAGACACGGUCCAGACUCCUACGGGAGGCAGCAGUAGGGAAUCAUCCGCAAUGGGCGAAAGCCUGAGCGGUGCAACGCCGCGUGAACGAUGAAGGUUUUCGGAUCGUAAAGUUCUGUUAUGAGGGAAGAACAAGUGCCGUUCGAAUAGGUCGGCACCUUGACGGUACCUCACGGAGCCCG
This 518-nucleotide ribosomal RNA is filed under the name Bacillus sp. M10-C13. Its description in RNAcentral is "bacterial SSU rRNA". It matches the Rfam family "Bacterial small subunit ribosomal RNA", at positions 1 to 494 of the family's 1533-position model. Lineage: Bacteria; Bacillati; Bacillota; Bacilli; Caryophanales; Bacillaceae. The record is from RNAcentral.